RNAcentral lists this ribosomal RNA (396 nucleotides) under uncultured Alphaproteobacteria bacterium. RNAcentral's name for it is "bacterial SSU rRNA". It matches the Rfam family "Bacterial small subunit ribosomal RNA", at positions 9 to 432 of the family's 1533-position model. The record is from RNAcentral. Lineage: Bacteria; Pseudomonadati; Pseudomonadota; Alphaproteobacteria.
GAGUUUGAUCGUGGCUCAGAACGAACGCUGGCGGCAGGCCUAACACAUGCAAGUCGAACGCCUCAGCAAUGAGGAGUGGCAGACGGGUGAGUAACGCGUGGGAACAUCCCCCUUAGUACGGAAUAGCCCAGGGAAACUUGGAGUAAUACCGUAUACGUCCGUAAGGAGAAAGAUUUAUCGCUGAGGGAUUGGCCCGCGUAGGAUUAGCUAGUUGGUGAGGUAACGGCUCACCAAGGCGACGAUCCUUAGCUGGUUUGAGAGAAUGACCAGCCACACUGGGACUGAGACACGGCCCAGACUCCUACGGGAGGCAGCAGUGGGGAAUCUUGGACAAUGGGCGCAAGCCUGAUCCAGCCAUGCCGCGUGAGUGACGAAGGCCUUAGGGUUGUAAAAGCU